GGACAGGGUAGGGAUGCUGAGAUUAUAGAUACCUUCAUGGUUUGUUUUAUGGGAAAAAUAAGGGAGGAUGUUAGGAAUGAGGGUGUUCAAGAGCUCUCUUCUAGUUAUGUCCAGGAGGAGAGGUCACAAAUACAGCUCACUCUCUUAACCUGAACAAAGUUAGCUCUAGAGUAUAGAAAAGAGUAAGAAGACAUCAUAGAUGGAGCCUGAAUUGUAUUUGUGGAUGUAACAUUUGAGAGCACGGGACAGAAAAAGGGCAUAAUGCUGAGAGACUCCAGCCAAAUGCUACAAGUGGACGGAUAUGAAAGAUUAGAGUGAUAUAAGGAAGUAGUAUCACA
Molecule: long non-coding RNA, 338 nt
Organism: Oxyura jamaicensis (ruddy duck)
Lineage: Eukaryota; Metazoa; Chordata; Aves; Anseriformes; Anatidae
Exons: 2
Source: RefSeq, a predicted model, not a curated record